AAGCAGCACAGAAGAGCAAACCCCUUGAGAGAUGUCGGCCGACUCCCAGGCCUCCAGAACUUAGCUUGAUGGACUUUGACAGACAGGGAUUUGUUUCUUCGUGUUGUUUAGCUCAAACCAGAGCUAAACCUCCUCAUCGUCUCAAAUGACCUGAAAUGGUUUCCCAAGCAACCUGGGCAGACCCUGGGGAGUCCAGAAGGCAUUCAGGGGCCCUGGACCUCUGGGGCUGAAGAUCUGCCUGCCGCUGUCCUGGAGGUCACAGGUUCCAGAAGGGCAGCAGAUGCCUGAAGCCGCAGGGCUGCGGGAAACAUACCUCACUUGCCUGUGGUCCAGUUUGGAUAGUCCCAGCACAGCUUUACAGGAAUAGGCCCCAAACCGAACUUCCAAGGAGGAAGGAUCUGAUCGGCUCAGCUUGGAUGAGGAAGCGGAGGGAGAGUGGACUGGAAGGAACUUGACCCAGGAUGCUGAGCAAAAUUUGCCAUUCAGCUACAAGAAGUGCAGUUGGCAGACAGCCUUCAACUUCAGCAUCUUCAGAGUCUGCCUUGACUUUCAAGCUGAGGCCAUGGACUUCUCAGGAGCUCCUAGCCAAUGGCUGAGAACAACAAACACCCUCACAAACACACCCGGAAUAGUGUUUAGUCAAAUGUCUAAGCACUCCAUGGGCCAGUCAAGUUGACACACAAAACUUGCCACCCCAGCUUCCUACAGAAGCCAACUCCCUCAAGAAGAGAUGAAGAUUCGGCUCUAUGUUGGUGGCGUGGCGUUGUGUACCUAGAACAAUGGAUUACAGCUGGGAAACUGAGUUCCAAAGGCAGGAAGAGACUUGCCUGGGGAGGCUGCUCUGGUCCUCAGGCCCUGGUCUUCGUGUGGGUCCCCAGGCUGGAUUCCCAGAAGCAGACUCUUAGUGAAGGAAAUGUAUAGGGGAUGAGAAAGUGGGGCAGGGAAGGGAAGCAGAUCCGGCAAGGAUCCGAUAUCAAGCAAACUCCCACAGAGGGCAUGGCUGGCCAAUGGGAUGCUUCUCUCUCCAAAGGAGCAGGGAGAGCUGGAGAUACCCUCCUUGCAAACAGCAGCUUGAGGAUCCAGCGCCUGGUGCACAGGUCUGCAAAUCGCCUGGGGUGACUCUGAUGAACUUGAUUAGUAUUGGCUGAACUUGGGCCAGGGUACGGGAUGGGUUCAAGCCUGUUCUGUAUGUUUGUAAUUUGGGGACUCAGGUUGAAAGGGUAGUGUCCAUCUGGAGCAAACUCAUGGUGAAGAGCUGGAGUGCAAGAGAUAGGAGUGGAAAUGUGCAAUGCCUCUUCAGACCUUGGCUUGGAACUGGCACAGCAUCACUUCUACCCAUAUUCAACUGAGCAGAACGCAUGACACAGUCAAGUCCAACAUCAGUGGUGUGGGGUAGUCCUGUCUGCUCACAGUGAAUCGUGAUACAGGGAGACAAGGAAGAAUUGUGGACUAAUAAUUUAAUCUAUCACACAGGGGGUGUUUUUUCACAACCUGAUAUCCUGAUUCCAACCCUCUGAGUGGAAUUUUUUUUUUUAAUUUUUUAGAGACAAGGUCUUGCUCUGUCACCCAGGCUGGAGUACAGUAGUGUGAUCAUAGCUCACUGCAGCCUCAAACUCCUGGGCUCAAGUGAUCCUCCUGCUUUAGCCUCCUGAAUACAUGAGACUACAGGCAUGCGCCACCAUGCCCAGCUUAUUUUUAUUUGUAUUUUGUGUAGAGCUGUAGUCUUGCAAUGUUGUCCAGGCUGGUCUUGAGCUCCUGGUCUCAAGUGAUCCACCCGCCUUGGCCUCUCAGGCAUGAGCCCCCGUUCUCAGCUGGAAUAUCUGUAUUUUGAAGAAGCUGCCCUGGUGAUUCUGAUGUGCAUUCUCACGGGCUCCCUGGCUAAGCUGGCUUUCCUUCAGAUCUGGGGCUUCUGGUCUCGAGGUCACCUGUGUUUCCGGGCCAAAGAUGGUUGUUAACUUGUUCCUCGGAUUGUUCAGUUUCUCAUUCCUGUGCUUUGACCAAGAGGCCAAGUCCAUCCAUUUAAAGUCAUCUCCAAAGACCGGGCUUGGUUCCGGACAUGGCGGGACUGGCUCAGGCAGGAGGCUGACUCAGCCGUGAGAAACAUUAAUGCCUGCCCAUGGUCAUUCUCUUCCUUCGGAAUGCCAGGCUCCUGGGGAUUAGAUGCUGGACGUGGUGGCUCAUGCCCAUAAUCCCAAUGCUUUGGGAGGCUGAGGGUUGGUUUGAACAAAGAAGUGCUUUGAGAGUUCAGAUGUGGAGCCAGGAACCCUGCCUGCCAUGGGAUGCAGGGAGAGGGGGUGGCGAGCAGCCCACAGCGACCCCAAGAAGCUGCUCCAACCCCUGGGACUAUGGAGCUCUACAGCUGUAGAGACCACCAGGAAGUGGACUGCAGGCCCCUGGCCUCUCCAUUCAGAUUCUGCAAAGAGAUCCUGAUGGGUUGGGCCAAUGGGUCAGGCAUCCAGUCAGCUCUGGCUAAGGGGUGAAGGAGUCAGGUGUUACCAACGUGGUGGCAGGGGCCACCUUGAAGCUGUGUUCUGUGCCAUGGAAGAAGGAAGAGGAGGAGGAAGCUAAGCUGGAAGGGAAGUCUAGGCUCCUGGAGUCAGUAGUUGGAAUCUCAGAUGGGAAGAAACCUUAAAAGUCAUCUGGUCCAGUAUUUUCCAAAGCAUGUUCCAUGAACUUGUUUUCCAGAAAUGGUUUCCUGGUCUGGUGAGUGGGAGUUCGAUGAGAGUGGCAGUUGUCUAUUUUGUUCACCGAUGUAUCUUAGGUGACUAAAACAAUGGUUGUCACAUGGCUGGCCCUUCAUAUUUGUUUCCAGAUGGAAGACUCUCUUUCUAGUGGUGGAACAUUAGUUUUGCACUGUGUUGGGACAACCUGAUGUAGUGAAAACAAGCCUGGGCAAUGAAAUCAACAGAUUGGAGUUCAGUUCCUAAUUGGGUCAUGGAUGAACUUUGUGACCUUGGGCAA
This is a long non-coding RNA of Homo sapiens (human), 2961 nucleotides long. The record is from Ensembl. NCBI's taxonomy places the organism in Eukaryota, Metazoa, Chordata, Mammalia, Primates, Hominidae.